AUAAACUAUAGACAUUCAGGUACAAUUUAGCACAUAUCUUAGCUCUUAGGAAGGAUAGCAUCAGACAUUCCUAGACUAUGACACUUACACAUAUGUUUGUAUCCUAUAUCCAUCCAUUAUAAGUGAGUGAAAAUGUUCAGCUACUAAACAACAUAUCAUGUUAGUAAGGCUGAAAAUCAUAAACUGCUCGGGAUGAGUUCAACACUGUUUGCUGUGUGAGGUUCUUACAUGGCGUCGAUGAAAAUGUUGCUGGUACAAGAGUUAUGUUACCAACUUGAUAGUAGUUUCCUGUUGCCUCCUAUUUCUAUUGGAUUGUGGCUAAAGGUUCCCUCACCCUUUGGUUGAUCAUCUACAUAUCUUCCUAUUCUACACCACCUAUUAUCUAUAUUGUAUAAUACUACCAGAACAUUUGUGUUUCACCAAAAAGAAACCACUAUAUAUAUGCAGCUAGUGACAGCAGAGUUAAUGUACUACGUGCAUUUGGCCAGCACAGCACUAUGGAUAAGUAUAUUACAAACUGCAGUUAAAGCAACAGGCAAAGGACAAUAAUCGAAGGUAUUCUUUGAAGCACCACAGAUAUGUAAUAUAUACAUCAUGCAUACUCAAGGAACCACAUUACAUACUAUGACCGAAGGUGGAUCAAGUUGUGUAAGACCAUUUAGUAUAUUGUUCCUUGUACGUCUAAUUAGCUUUUUGAGGGUAUUCUGAAAUUCCAAAAUAGUAGGAGGUACGAGGUAGAAAAUACAAGUUAAAUGCACUAGCGGCCCUAAAACGUCCAAGUUUAUGUCACCAAGGCCCACGAGCUUUCAAAAUAAAUUCUGGGUCCCUAAAGUUUAAAUGGUGCACUGCAAGUCCAUGCCAUCCACGUAUAGUAUAGAAAUUUUUUUAGUGAUGGCUGCCAAUUCUAGUAGAGACGGACGACUUAGGAAACCGCUCAUAACCUUUGUGGGAAGC
RNAcentral lists this long non-coding RNA (954 nucleotides) under Sorghum bicolor (sorghum). RNAcentral's name for it is "long non-coding RNA (SBIC_LNC007668)". Lineage: Eukaryota; Viridiplantae; Streptophyta; Magnoliopsida; Poales; Poaceae. The record is from RNAcentral.